Ornithorhynchus anatinus (platypus) is the source of this 138-nucleotide small nucleolar RNA. Lineage: Eukaryota; Metazoa; Chordata; Mammalia; Monotremata; Ornithorhynchidae. The record is from RefSeq and is a predicted model, not a curated record.
CCCCUCUCAGGAUUGCACCUGGAGAGUUCCCUGUACUCUACCAAUCUCAACUAUGGGAGGGAGAGUCAAGCAGAGGCAUACCCAUUCCAUUUCUAGCAUGGGUGGUGGCUAGUGAGAGGAAGGCAAUCUGCUACAAAU